This 588-nucleotide ribosomal RNA is filed under the name uncultured Escherichia sp. RNAcentral describes it as "bacterial SSU rRNA". It matches the Rfam family "Bacterial small subunit ribosomal RNA", at positions 913 to 1499 of the family's 1533-position model. Lineage: Bacteria; Pseudomonadati; Pseudomonadota; Gammaproteobacteria; Enterobacterales; Enterobacteriaceae. The record is from RNAcentral.
ACGGGGACCCGCACAAGUAGCGGAGCAUGUGGUUUAAUUCGAAGCAACGCGAAGAACCUUACCUAAGCUUGACAUCCCAAUGACAUCUCCUUAAUCGGAGAGUUCCCUUCGGGGACAUUGGUGACAGGUGGUGCAUGGUUGUCGUCAGCUCGUGUUGUGAAAUGUUGGGUUAAGUCCCGCAACGAGCGCAACCCUUAUCCUUUGUUGCCAGCGGUCCGGCCGGGAACUCAAAGGAGACUGCCAGUGAUAAACUGGAGGAAGGUGGGGAUGACGUCAAGUCAUCAUGGCCCUUACGACCAGGGCUACACACGUGCUACAAUGGCGCAUACAAAGAGAAGCGACCUCGCGAGAGCAAGCGGACCUCAUAAAGUGCGUCGUAGUCCGGAUUGGAGUCUGCAACUCGACUCCAUGAAGUCGGAAUCGCUAGUAAUCGUGGAUCAGAAUGCCACGGUGAAUACGUUCCCGGGCCUUGUACACACCGCCCGUCACACCAUGGGAGUGGGUUGCAAAAGAAGUAGGUAGCUUAACCUUCGGGAGGGCGCUUACCACUUUGUGAUUCAUGACUGGGGUGAAGUCGUAACAAGUAAC